UGAAAUCAAUUUCAUGGGCUGCAACCAGCACU
RNAcentral lists this non-coding RNA (32 nucleotides) under Rattus norvegicus (Norway rat). The record is from RNAcentral. Lineage: Eukaryota; Metazoa; Chordata; Mammalia; Rodentia; Muridae.